GUAGCCGGCCGGGAUAAGUCUCUUGGAAAAUCUGGCAGCUUAACUGUCAGGCUUUCAGGAGAUACUGUCUGGCUCGAGGCCGGGAGAGGUGAGAGGUACUUCAGGGGUAGGGGUGAAAUCUUGUAAUCCUUGAAGGACCACCAGUGGCGAAGGCGUCUCACCAGAACGGACCUGACGGCAAGGGACGAAAGCUAGGGGCACGAACCGGAUUAGAUACCCGGGUAGUCCUAGCCGUAAACGAUACUCGCUAGGUGUCGGCCACGGUGCGACCGUUGUCGGUGCCGUA
RNAcentral lists this ribosomal RNA (286 nucleotides) under uncultured archaeon SYA_2000_57. Its description in RNAcentral is "partial 16S ribosomal RNA". It matches the Rfam family "Archaeal small subunit ribosomal RNA", at positions 521 to 805 of the family's 1478-position model. The record is from RNAcentral.